UGAAUGCCUUGGGCGUUUUUGCCGAGGAAGGACGUAUAUGGCAGCGAUAUUCGUCGGGGAGGAGCCAUAAUCCGACAAUCCGGCGGUUUCCGAAUGGGGCAACCCCUCUAUCGCAAGAUAGAGACUGUACUGUAAAGACAGUUCGCACUCUGUUUAUAAAUUUAUAAUAAUUUUCAAUUUACAAUUUACAAUUUUUAAUCAAACGAUGAAAUUUUCAAAAGUUGUUGAUAUUAAAAUUAUCAUUGAAAAUUGAAAAAUAAAAAUUGAAAAUUUGUUUAUAGAUAGUGUGCGGACUGGGAUAGCAGUACGGAGGAUACCAUCCGAACUGAAACAUCUCAGUAGGGUGAGGAAAAGAAAUCACGAGAGAUUCCGUUAGUAGCGGCGAGCGAAAGCGGAAAAGCCUAAAUUCGUGCGGGGCACGAAGAUGCUUAGAGAAGCUUAGCAAGACCAGAAGCUUAGUAAGACAAAAACAUACUAAGCCUCUAAACUUCUAAGCUGCUAAACUUUUUCGCGCUCUGCGCGAACGUUGUAGGGCUUCCGAUAUGGGAUGAACAAGCGAUAAAAGAACACCGUGGAAUAGGUGGCCAAAGAGAGUGAAAGCCUCGUAUUCUAAAUUGCUUGUUCCCCUAGGGAGUUCCUAAGUACCAGGGGACAUGAAAGUCCUGUGGGAAUCUAGGUCGACCACGAUCUAAGGCUAAAUACAAAAACGCACCGAUAGUGAACGAGUACCGUGAGGGAAAGGUGAAAAGCACCCCGAAAGGGGAAUGAAAGAGUACCUGAAAUUGUCAGCUAACAAACAGAUAGAGCUUGUCCGUGGGACAAGAAUAAUCGAAUAAACGAAUAAGCGAAUAAACAAUAAGCGAAUGCAAAAACAAAAAAAUUGCUUAUUGAUUAUUGUUCAUUGAUUAUUGCUUAUUUUGUGAUUGGUUAUUCUCGCCCUGCGGGCGAGUGAUAUCGUGCCUAUUGAAGAAUGAACCGGUGAGUUAUCCGUCAAAGCAAGCUUAACCCUCGAAAUUUACUAACCCGAAAGAGUUUGGCCAAGCCAUUGGCUUGGAGUAAAUUUCGAGGGGGAGGCGUAGUGAAAGCGAGGCCUAAUUGGCCGACUAGUUUUGCCGGAUAGACCCGAAACCAGGUGAGCUAACCAUGAGCAGGGUGAAUCCCGAUGAAAAUCGGGAAGAGGCCCGAACUCUUCAGAGUUACAAAUCUGUGAGAUGACUUGUGGUUAGGGGUUAUAUGCCUAUCGAACCUGGAGAUAGCUGGUUCUCCCCGAAAUAUANNNNNNNNNNNNNNNNNNNNNNNNNNNNNNNNNNNNNNNNNNNNNNNNNNNNNNNNNNNNNNNNNNNNNNNNNNNNNNNNNNNNNNNNNNNNNNNNNNNNNNNNNNNNNNNNNNNNNNNNNNNNNNNNNNNNNNNNNNNNNNNNNNNNNNNNNNNNNNNNNNNNNNNNNNNNNGAAGGUGAGAAUCCUUCAUGCCGAAUGCGCAAGGUUUCCGAAGCAACGUUCGUCGACUUCGGGUAAGUCGGAUCUAAGGCGAGUCCCACAUUGUGGGAGUAGCUUGAUGUAUAAACGGUUGAUAUUCCGUUACAAGAAAGUGUUGUCUAAGACUCAAAGGGAUGACAAAGGAGGAUGGGUCUCGUGGUUGAUUCGUCGGCCACUAAGCUUCGAAAUAGUGAUAAUUGGUAAAUCCGUUAUUGCGAUUAAUUGAGAAGCAGGGAAGUCCAAACCGAAAGGGGCGGGCAAUAGAGAUAGUUCUGCUUUCGAGAAAAUUCUCGUUGAGAAGCACUUUUUUUCCGUACCGCAAACCGACACAGGUGCGCUGGUAGAGUAUACCAAGGCAAGCGGGUGACAGUGGUUCAAGGAACUCGGCAACAAAAACUAGGCGUAACUUAUGGGAGAUGCCUUGCCACGCGUAAGCGUGGUCUCAGUUAAUGACGCUAAGCGACUGUUUAACUAAAACACAGGUCUCUGCGAAGCCGAAAGGCUACGUAUAGGGGCUGACACCUGCCCAGUGCUGGUAAGUUAAGAGUGGUACGUGCGAUUAUAUCAAGCGUGCUUCUCAAGCUCCAGUAAACGGCAGCAGUAACUAUAACUGUUCUAUGGUAGGAACAAUCUGCCAUAGUGAGGUAGCCAAACCUCUUCCACUCGUGCAUAAACAAAGUGGAAAAAACUUGACUAUAUGCUGGAAAAACUUGUUAAUCCGACAGUACCUUUAAAGGUAAAAAUUUGAUCGGUAGAGUUAAUCAGCAGGAAAGACUGAUAUGAAGGAGUUGAUUAUCUCAACUUUAUUUCAAGCGCGCCUCUUUUACUUAUGCACUUUUGUGCGUCACCUAAAGAGGACAAACGACAAUAGUAGUGGAUAAAUACUUACAAAAAAAUCAGUACCACCGCGUAACGUCGAAUCAGAAUCCUCAGAGACUAUACGUCAGGGUCCCGUAUUAAGCGGGAUAAGAUAUAGUCCAAACUUCAUAUAUUUUGAAGGUUUUGAGCGAAGUUCCUUGUCGGGCAAGUUCCGACCUGCACGAAAGGUAGAACGACUUAGCGACUGUCUUGAACCAUUACCCGGCGAAAUUGAAAUGGCUGUGAAGAUGCGGCCUACUUGCACAUGGACAAAAAGACCCCAUGAAGCUUUACUGCAGUUUGGCACUGAGGACUUCGUUUUGACUGUCGAGCAUAGGUGGGACCCCGCCUUAAAACGGGGGUAAUAUGGAAUACCACUCUUCGAAAUGAGGAAAUCUUACUUACUCCUGCAUAAAAAUCCAGGAGAAGAACACUGUCUGACAGGCAGUUUAACUGGGGAGGUUGCCUCCAAAAGUGUAACGGAGGCGUACAAAGGUUGGCUAAUCCUGAAUGGAAACCAGGACCAGUCGUGCAAACGCGAUAAGCCAGCUUGACUGCGAGACGUACAUGUCGAGCAGACACGAAAGUGGGUGUUAGUGAUCCUCGAUACCCUCGUGGGAGGGUUCGGGCUUAACGGAUAAAAGCUACUCUGGGGAUAACAGGCUGAUCGCUUCCGAGAGUCCAUAUCGACGAGGCGGUUUGGCACCUUAACUAAAUACGACAUUGGGGUGCUAUCCAAGUAAUUGGGUACCAAAUAAAUCUAGCUAAUAUCGGUGGAAUCCUAAGUUGAUCGUGGCUAUUUAUAGAUCCAUAAUAGAUCUAUGGUAGGAUCAACGGAUAAUACCGAGGGAAGCUUGUUUUAGAAUUUUUGAAGUUCGAGGUGGGAUGUGGGAUAGUGAAGUGAGAUUGUUUGAAUCCUUGAUUAUAUGAUUAAGAGUUUCUUAGAUCUAGAGGUUUAUAAAGAAAGUUUUCAGCUUCAGUUGGAAAUUGAUGAGGUAUUGAAAAGCUUUCCUGUAAGUGAACGAUUUCUUCUCAUUGAUCAAAUGAGAAGAGCUUCUCGAUCAAUUCCUUCGCAAAUUGCUGAAGGAUACGCAAAACGAAAGUCAAUCAAGGAAUUUGCUAAAUAUUUAAACGCUUGUGUUGGAGAAUCUAAUGAGAUGAUGAACCAUCUUAUGUUAUCUAAACACAAAGGGUUUAUCCGAAAGCCAGGUUAUGUCGAUGAAUUAAUUCAGCGAUAUGAUCGGCUAGGGAAAAAAUUAACGAAUUUAAAGAAUAAUUGGCAAAAUUUCAAAUAAUCAAGAUUUCUCACUUCAGUAUCCCAUUUCUCACUUCCCACAUCAAAAUAUCUAUUACAUAGCCCCGUAUCGACUGAUUCCCGACGCAAGGUCGGGAUGAGAUAGUUCAAUUAUGUAUCACGAACUAUAAUACGCUGGCUCCCUGCGAGGCAGGGAUGAAGAUAUAGUCAAAUCUCAUCAGAAACGGUGAGGGCAAAUCUGUUUUUUACAGAAUUGCGAUGUCGGCUCAUCCUAUCCUGGGGCUGGAGAAGGUCCCAAGGGUCCGGCUGUUCGCCGGUUAAAAGGGUACGCGAGCUGGGUUCAGAACGUAAAUCUCAUUGCGUUCUCCGUCAGUAAUGACGGAUAAUAAACAAAGAAGUCAGAGAACUUCUCUUUUCUGUCACCUACCGAGGAAAAGUACAGAAAAGUUUCGACUAAAAUCGGUGAAACCCAAAGAUGGUAACCGACCGUUUAUGGGUAAUACCGAGGGUAAGACAAGCAUGAAACAGGAAAAUCGAGCAUAUAUUGCAGGAUUUUUAGACGGAGAUGGAUGCAUAAUGCUGCAACUGGUAUAUCGGCACGAUUAUGUGUUGGGAUAUCAGAUUCGGGCAAGCAUCGUUUUCUAUCAAAAACAACAAUAUCGCUGGUUUCUUUCCUGGCUUCAAGAUCAAUUUGGUGGUAUUGGCUAUAUUCGUAAUCGCAAUGAUGGAAUGAGCGAAUACACUAUUGUGGGCAUAGCAGAUGUGAAGAACGUAUUAACAGUACUUUCUCCACAUCUUCGAAUGAAAAAGCCGCAGGCGGAAAUAACGCUGAAGGUGAUUUCACAAAUGCCCGGAUCUGGGAGAAAAAUGACCAAAGAAAAGCUCUUAACGCUUUCAAAAGAUGUUGAUCGCUUUUUAAAAUUAAAUUAUUCAAAGAGGCGAACCAAUACAUCAGAGAAAUUGAAAGCAUUUUUAGCUUCACAUACUUGAUCCCGUAGAGACUUGCUUCGCGAGAGGCAGAUCCCGACAAUGCGUCGGGAUAACACGUCGACUCCCGAUUAAAUCGGGAUGAAGAUAUAGUCCAAACAGCUAGUAAUAGUUGAAUAUUUUGCGUGAGACAGUUCGGUCUCUAUCCUGUGCAAGCGUUGGAUUCUUGAGGGGAGCUCUCUCCAGUAGACGCGAUGAGCGUCAUGCUCUCCCAUACCGUAAGGUGUGGGAUGUAAUCGGCUUAAGAACGGUGAAGUCUUCCUGAUGAUAUGGUACGAUGGAAUCGAUGCGAGAGGACCAUAAAUCAAAAGAUAAUACCGUGGGAAGUCGACAAAAAAUAAAGAUCCAGGAUUUAGCAUAUAUAGCAGGAUUCUUAGAUGGUGAUGGAAGUAUCAUGAUACAGGUGAAGCGUCGUUCCGACGCCCCAAGAGGGUGGAGGAUUAUGGCAACCAUCUGUUUGUACCAAGAUACUCAUCACAAAGCUCCAUUACUAUGGAUGCGUGAUGUGUUUAGGAUUGGGUAUAUAUCCAACCGCAAUGACCAUAUCACUGAGUUACGUAUUAAUGGAUAUAGUGAAGUCAAAAGAAUUCUACUAUUGCUUCAACCGUUUAUAAAAUUUAAGCGGAAACAAGUAGUAUACGCACUUCGUAUACUGACGAGUUUAGAAAAGAAGCCAAUUGCUGCAAUCCCAAAAGAAGAACGAUUAGCGAUUGCUGACGAUAUUAUCGCUUUGAGGGGAGAGAAUUACCAAUCCCAUCAGAGGCGAUAUACGGAUGCAUCAAUAAAAGAACUUCUUGGAUUCUAAAGUUUUUUGUUUGACCCUGUAACGACUGAUCCCGCCUAAGUGGCGGGAGAGAUAGGAAUUAAUGUUUUCCUAUAACACGCCGACCUCCCCCGAUUUGAUCGGGGGAAGAAGAUAUAGUCUAAGCUUUCAGAAAUGAAAGAACAACUUGACGAGAGGACCGAGAGGGACAGAUCCCUGGUGUGCCAAUUGUCGGACAACCGGCAGCGUUGGGUAGCUAGAUCUGGACGGGAUAAGUGCUGAAAGCAUCUCAAGCACCAAGCCCACCCCAAGAUGAGGAAUCGUUAUAGACCACCCGAAGAAUACGGGUUUGAUAGGCGAGAAGUGUACGCGUCGUAAGGCGUUUAGCUUACUCGUACUAAUUGGUCGAUGU
Molecule: ribosomal RNA, 5751 nt
Filed under: Candidatus Gottesmanbacteria bacterium RBG_13_45_10
Lineage: Bacteria; Candidatus Gottesmaniibacteriota
Description: 23S ribosomal RNA
Rfam family: Bacterial large subunit ribosomal RNA (bases 1-3193)
Source: RNAcentral